CAUGAGGAUUGCUGCUACUGUAAUAUUUCUCGACAUUCUGUAAAACAUGGUGACAUCAGCCUUCAGACAGC
Pangasianodon gigas (Mekong giant catfish) is the source of this 71-nucleotide non-coding RNA. Lineage: Eukaryota; Metazoa; Chordata; Actinopteri; Siluriformes; Pangasiidae. The record is from the annotation of a GenBank genome assembly.